Molecule: ribosomal RNA, 484 nt
Filed under: uncultured bacterium
Lineage: Bacteria
Description: partial 16S ribosomal RNA
Rfam family: Bacterial small subunit ribosomal RNA
Source: RNAcentral
AUUGAACGCUGGCGGCAGGCCUAACACAUGCAAGUCGAGCGGAAGCACGGAGCUUGCUCCUGGACCCAGCGGCGGACGGGUGAGUAAUGCCUAGGAAUAUGCCUGGUAGUGGGGGAUAACGUCCGGAAACGGGCGCUAAUACCGCCUACGUCCUGAGGGUGAAAGUGGGGGAUCUUCGGACCUCACGCUCUCAGAUGAGCCUAGGUCGGAUUAGCUAGUUGGUGGGGUAAAGGCUUACCAAGGCGACGAUCCGUAGCUGGUCUGAGAGGAUGAUCAGCCACACUGGAACUGAGACACGGUCCAGACUCCUACGGGAGGCAGCAGUGGGGAAUAUUGGACAAUGGGCGAAAGCCUGAUCCAGCCAUGCCGCGUGUGUGAAGAAGGUCUUCGGAUUGUAAAGCACUUUAAGUGGGGAGGAAAGGCAGUAAGUUAAUACCUUGCGGGUGUGACGGUACCAGCAGAAUAAGCACCGGCUAACUACGUG